UACGGGGGGGGCAAGCGUUGUUCGGAAUUACUGGGCGUAAAGGGCUCGUAGGCGGCCAACUAAGUCAGACGUGAAAUCCCUCGGCUUAACCGGGGAACUGCGUCUGAUACUGGAUGGCUUGAAUCCGGGAGAGGGAUGCGGAAUUCCAGGUGUAGCGGUGAAAUGCGCAGAUAUCAGGAGGAACACCCGUGGCGAAAGCGGCUCUCUGGGACGGUACUGACGCUGAGACGCGAAAGCGUGGGGAGCAAACAGG
Molecule: ribosomal RNA, 253 nt
Filed under: uncultured bacterium
Lineage: Bacteria
Description: partial 16S ribosomal RNA
Rfam family: Bacterial small subunit ribosomal RNA
Source: RNAcentral